Molecule: ribosomal RNA, 1492 nt
Filed under: uncultured bacterium
Lineage: Bacteria
Description: 16S ribosomal RNA
Rfam family: Bacterial small subunit ribosomal RNA
Source: RNAcentral
UUGAGAGUUUGAUCCUGGCUCAGGAUGAACGCUAGCGGCAGGCCUAACACAUGCAAGUCGAGGGGCAGCACGGGUAGCAAUACCUGGUGGCGACCGGCGCACGGGUGAGUAACGCGUAUGAAACCUGCCCCCCGCUGGGGGAUAGCCCGUCGAAAGGCGGAUUAAUACCCCAUAGUUCCCCCGGACCACCUGGUCUGGGGGGUAAAGUUUUGGCGGCGGUGGAUGGCCAUGCGUGCCAUUAGCUAGUCGGCGGGGUAACGGCCCACCGAGGCUAUGAUGGCUAGGGGGUCUGAGAGGAUGAUCCCCCACACUGGUACUGAGACACGGACCAGACUCCUACGGGAGGCAGCAGUGAGGAAUAUUGGUCAAUGGGCGGAAGCCUGAACCAGCCAUGCCGCGUGCAGGAAGACGGCCCUACGGGUUGUAAACUGCUUUUGCGCGGGAAGAAUAACCCCCUCGUGAGGGGGGAUGCCGGUACCGCGCGAAUAAGGAUCGGCUAACUCCGUGCCAGCAGCCGCGGUAAUACGGAGGAUCCAAGCGUUAUCCGGAUUUACUGGGUUUAAAGGGUGCGUAGGCUGACACUUAAGUCAGCGGUGAAAUGCAACGGCUCAACCGUUGAACUGCCGUUGAAACUGGGUGCCUUGGGUUCGGUCGAGGCUGGCGGAAUGCGUGGUGUAGCGGUGAAAUGCUUAGAUAUCACGCGGAACCGCCGAUUGCGAAGGCAGCUGGCCAGACCGAUACCGACGCUGAGGCGCGAAAGCGUGGGGAUCAAACAGGAUUAGAUACCCUGGUAGUCCACGCCGUAAACGAUGAUCACUGGAUGCCGGCGAUACACCGUCGGUGUCUGAGCGAAAGCAUUAAGUGAUCCACCUGGGGAGUACGAUCGCAAGGUUGAAACUCAAAGGAAUUGACGGGGGCCCGCACAAGCGGAGGAACAUGUGGUUUAAUUCGAUGAUACGCGAGGAACCUUACCUGGGCUCAAACGCACUUGGAAGCGCGCCGAAAGGCGUGUGCCAGCAAUGGCCGGGUGCGAGGUGCUGCAUGGUUGUCGUCAGCUCGUGCCGUGAGGUGUCGGGUUAAGUCCCAUAACGAGCGCAACCCCUACUGCUAGUUGCCAGCGCGUCAAGGCGGGGACUCUAGCGGAACUGCCGGCGUAAGCCGUGAGGAAGGUGGGGAUGACGUCAAAUCAGCACGGCCCUUAUGUCCAGGGCUACACACGUGUUACAAUGGCCGGUACAGAGGGCAGCCACCCCGCGAGGGGGCGCUAAUCCCGAAAGCCGGUCCCAGUUCGGAUCGGAGUCUGCAACCCGACUCCGUGAAGCUGGAUUCGCUAGUAAUCGCGCAUCAGCUACGGCGCGGUGAAUACGUUCCCGGGCCUUGUACACACCGCCCGUCAAGCCAUGGAAGCUGGGGGUACCUGAAGUCCGUAACCGUGAGGAGCGGCCUAGGGUAAAACCGGUGACUGGGGCUAAGUCGUAACAAGGUAGCCGUA